CCUACGGGAGGCAGCAGUGGGGAAUAUUGCACAAUGGGGGAAACCCUGAUGCAGCGACGCCGCGUGAAGGAAGAAGGCUUUCGGGUUGUAAACUUCUUUUGACAGGGAAGAGCAGAAGACGGUACCUGUCGAAUAAGCCACGGCUAACUACGUGCCAGCAGCCGCGGUAAUACGUAGGUGGCAAGCGUUGUCCGGAGUUACUGGGUGUAAAGGGCGUGUAGCCGGGCUGACAAGUCAGAUGUGAAAUCCGAGGGCUCAACCCCCGAGCUGCCUUUGAUACUGUUGGUCUUGAGUAUCGGAGAGGCAGGCGGAAUUCCUGGUGUAGCGGUGAAAUGCGUAGAUAUUAGGAGGAACACCAGUGGCGAAGGCGGCCUGCUGGACGACAACUGACGGUGAGGCGCGAAAGCGUGGGGAGCAAACAGGAUUAGAUACCCCUGUAGUC
Molecule: ribosomal RNA, 442 nt
Filed under: uncultured bacterium
Lineage: Bacteria
Description: partial 16S ribosomal RNA
Rfam family: Bacterial small subunit ribosomal RNA
Source: RNAcentral